UGAUUCCCUUAGUAACGGCGAGUGAAGUGGGAAGAGCUCAAAUUUAAAAUCCUUUUUACCAAGGAGUUGUAAUUUAUAGAACGACUAGUUGUGAGUUUUUGGGUUAAAGUAUGCUGGAAAGCAACGCUAGAAAGGGUGAUAGCCCCGUUCGACCUUUAGAACAAACAUUAUACUAACGUUUCAAAGAGUCAGAUUGCUUGGGAAUGCAGUCUAAAUUUGGUGGUAAACUCCAUCUAAAGCUAAAUAUUGAUCAGUGACCGAUAGCAAACAAGUACCGUGAGGGAAAGAUGAAAAGAACCUUGAAAAGGGGGUUAAAAGUACGUGAAAUUGUUAUUAGGAAAGCACUUGGUAUUAUUGAGGAUUAAGUGAGUCUGUUUCGGCAGAUACUGACUUGAUUAGUUAUGAUCAGUUAGGACUAGUAAAGAAGGUGUUUGAUAAGGUAUUAGUGUAGAGCUAAACUUAAAGAUUGAGCAAGAUUUACUGGAUUUGACUGAGGAAUGCUUUGUGAGGAUUUUUGGGGAGAUGGUUGUGGCGUGUGGUUAAACAACAAGUUGAUUGAUCAGACUUAAGUAGCCAUAUUUUCAAAAUACUUACAAACAGGAUCAUAAUUAAAUAAUACUAAAUGACCCGUCUUGAAACACGGACCAAGGAGUCUAACAUGAUUGCGAGUUACAGGGUGAAAAACCUUUGAGCGGAAUGAAAGUGAUAAAGAUAGGAUAAAGUAAAAAUUAGCACUAUCAACCUAACUAGAAGAUUAUUUCUGAAAGUUUAGAGUUAGAGCAAUUAUGUUGGGACCCGAAAGAUGGUGAGCUAUGCUUGAAUAGGGCAAAGCCAGAGGAAACUCUGGUGGAGGCUCGUAGCGAUUCUGACGUGCAAAUCGAUCGUCAAAUUUGAGCAUAGGGGCGAAAGACUAA
RNAcentral lists this ribosomal RNA (914 nucleotides) under Conidiobolus variabilis. RNAcentral describes it as "partial large subunit ribosomal RNA". It matches the Rfam family "Eukaryotic large subunit ribosomal RNA", at positions 72 to 934 of the family's 3401-position model. The record is from RNAcentral. Lineage: Eukaryota; Fungi; Entomophthoromycota; Entomophthoromycetes; Entomophthorales; Conidiobolaceae.